AGUGAACGCUGGCGGUAGGCCUAACACAUGCAAGUCGAACGGCAGCACAGUAAGAGCUUGCUCUUACGGGUGGCGAGUGGCGGACGGGUGAGGAAUACAUCGGAAUCUACUUUUUCGUGGGGGAUAACGUAGGGAAACUUACGCUAAUACCGCAUACGACCUACGGGUGAAAGCAGGGGAUCUUCGGACCUUGCGCGAUUGAAUGAGCCGAUGUCGGAUUAGCUAGUUGGCGGGGUAAAGGCCCACCAAGGCGACGAUCCGUAGCUGGUCUGAGAGGAUGAUCAGCCACACUGGAACGGAGACACGGUCCAGACUCCUACGGGAGGCAGCAGUGGGGAAUAUUGGACAAUGGGCGCAAGCCUGAUCCAGCCAUACCGCGUGGGUGAAGAAGGCCUUCGGGUUGUAAAGCCCUUUUGUUGGGAAAGAAAAGCAGCAGGUUAAUACCCCGCUGUUCUGACGGUACCCAAAGAAUAAGCACCGGCUAACUUCG
This 490-nucleotide ribosomal RNA is filed under the name uncultured bacterium. RNAcentral describes it as "partial 16S ribosomal RNA". It matches the Rfam family "Bacterial small subunit ribosomal RNA", at positions 29 to 505 of the family's 1533-position model. The record is from RNAcentral.